Molecule: ribosomal RNA, 910 nt
Filed under: uncultured bacterium
Lineage: Bacteria
Description: bacterial SSU rRNA
Rfam family: Bacterial small subunit ribosomal RNA
Source: RNAcentral
ACGCUGGCGGCGUGCCUAAUACAUGCAAGUAGAACGCUGAAGCUUGGUGCUUGCACCGAGCGGAUGAGUUGCGAACGGGUGAGUAACGCGUAGGUAACCUGCCUGGUAGCGGGGGAUAACUAUUGGAAACGAUAGCUAAUACCGCAUAACAGUAGAUGUUGCAUGACAUUUGCUUGAAAGGGGCAAUUGCUCCACUACCAGAUGGACCUGCGUUGUAUUAGCUAGUUGGUGAGGUAACGGCUCACCAAGGCGACGAUACAUAGCCGACCUGAGAGGGUGAUCGGCCACACUGGGACUGAGACACGGCCCAGACUCCUACGGGAGGCAGCAGUAGGGAAUCUUCGGCAAUGGACGGAAGUCUGACCGAGCAACGCCGCGUGAGUGAAGAAGGUUUUCGGAUCGUAAAGCUCUGUUGUAAGAGAAGAUCGAGUGUGAGAGUGGAAAGUUCACACUGUGACGGUAACUUACCAGAAAGGGACGGCUAACUACGUGCCAGCAGCCGCGGUAAUACGUAGGUCCCGAGCGUUAUCCGGAUUUAUUGGGCGUAAAGCGAGCGCAGGCGGUUAGAUAAGUCUGAAGUUAAAGGCUGUGGCUUAACCAUAGUACGCUUUGGGAACUGUUUAACUUGAGUGCAGAAGGGGAGAGUGGAAUUCCAUGUGUAGCGGUGAAAUGCGUAGAUAUAUGGAGGAACACCGGUGGCGAAAGCGGCUCUCUGGUCUGUAACUGACGCUGAGGCUCGAAAGCGUGGGGAGCAAACAGGAUUAGAUACCCUGGUAGUCCACGCCGUAAACGAUGAGUGCUAGGUGUUGGGUCCUUUCCGGGACUCAGUGCCGCAGCUAACGCAUUAAGCACUCCGCCUGGGGAGUACGACCGCAAGGUUGAAACUCAAAGGAAUUGACGGGGGCCCGCA